UACGUAGGGUGCGAGCGUUGUCCGGAAUUACUGGGCGUAAAGAGCUCGUAGGUGGUUUGUCGCGUUGUUCGUGAAAACUCACAGCUCAACUGUGGGCGUGCGGGCGAUACGGGCAGACUGGAGUACUGCAGGGGAGACUGGAAUUCCUGGUGUAGCGGUGAAAUGCGCAGAUAUCAGGAGGAACACCGGUGGCGAAGGCGGUUCUCUGGGCAUUACCUGACGCUGAGGAGCGAAAGUGUGGGGAGCGAACAGG
Molecule: ribosomal RNA, 253 nt
Filed under: uncultured bacterium
Lineage: Bacteria
Description: partial 16S ribosomal RNA
Rfam family: Bacterial small subunit ribosomal RNA
Source: RNAcentral